GUAGGCGGCUCAGCAAGUCGGCCGUGAAAGUCUGAGGCUCAACCUCAGGACGCCGGUCGAAACUGCUGUGGCUAGGGUCCGGUAGAGGAGAGUGGAAUUCCCGGUGUAGCGGUGAAAUGCGCAGAUAUCGGGAGGAACACCAGUAGCGAAGGCGGCUCUCUGGGCCGGCACCGACGCUGAGGAGCGAAAGCUAGGGGAGCAAACAGGAUUAGAUACCCUGGUAGUCCUAGCCGUAAACGUUGGGCACUAGGUGUGGCGGAUUCAUUGACAUCUGCCGUGCCGUAGCUAACGCAUUAAGUGCCCCGCCUGGGGAGUACGGUCGCAAGGCUAAAACUCAAAGGAAUUGACGGGAGCCCGCACAAGCGGCGGAGCAUGCGGCUUAAUUCGAUGGUACCCGAAGAACCUUACCUGGACUUGACAUAAUGGGAAAAACCCUAGAGAUAGGGUGUGCGUAAGCGUCCAUUACAGGUGGUGCAUGGCUGUCGUCAGCUCGUGUCGUGAGAUGUUGGGUUAAGUCCCGCAACGAGCGCAACCCCUGUCCUAUGUUGCCAGCGGAUAAUGCCGGGGACUCAUGGGAGACUGCCGGGGACAACUCGGAGGAAGGCGGGGACGACGUCAAGUCAUCAUGCCCCUUAUGUCCAGGGCUGCACGCAUGCUACAAUGGCAGGUACAAUGGGCAGCGAUCCCGCGAGGGUGAGCGAAUCCUCAAAGCCUGUCUCAGUUCGGAUCGGAGUCUGCAACUCGACUCCGUGAAGUCGGAGU
This 762-nucleotide ribosomal RNA is filed under the name uncultured Actinomycetes bacterium. RNAcentral describes it as "bacterial SSU rRNA". It matches the Rfam family "Bacterial small subunit ribosomal RNA", at positions 571 to 1332 of the family's 1533-position model. The record is from RNAcentral. Lineage: Bacteria; Bacillati; Actinomycetota; Actinomycetes.